GUUUAACAUAGGACCCUAUGGGAAAUGCAUACAAAUGACUUAUUUUAGAGAACCACUGAAUGGAAUGAAACCUAACAUAGCAUGAAUGUUCCUUAUGGGGUGCUGACCAUGUGUUGUUACUUUGUUGCUGAUCCAUCAUCCAAGAUGGCCGCCAGCCGGGGACUUAGUUUAACAUAGGACCCUAUGGGAAAUGCAUACAAAUGACUUCUUUUGGAGAAGCACUGAAUGGAAUAAAACCAAACAUAUUAUGAAU
This 253-nucleotide long non-coding RNA is filed under the name Mytilus galloprovincialis (Mediterranean mussel). Lineage: Eukaryota; Metazoa; Mollusca; Bivalvia; Mytilida; Mytilidae. The record is from RNAcentral.